UUUUUUUGAGUCUGUGUGUGUCAACCUUGUUGUUUCUUUUGACGUCUCAGCGUCUCUUUGUGUUUGUGUGACAACUAUUAGGCUCGAGUUCCAGACUCCCUAUUAGUUUGUUAUUCACCCUUUUUUUCUUUUUUAACCUUUUUGUUUCUUUUGACGUCUUAGCGUCUCUUUGUGUUUGUGUGACAACUAUUAGGCUCGAGUUCCAGACUCCCUAUUAGUUUGUCAAUCUGAUAACCUUUUUCUUUUAUGUUCGCUGGUUAGCG
Molecule: long non-coding RNA, 263 nt
Filed under: Lathyrus oleraceus (garden pea)
Lineage: Eukaryota; Viridiplantae; Streptophyta; Magnoliopsida; Fabales; Fabaceae
Description: Pisum sativum (pea) long non-coding RNA (PSAT_LNC025574)
Source: RNAcentral